Molecule: long non-coding RNA, 1551 nt
Filed under: Callithrix jacchus (white-tufted-ear marmoset)
Lineage: Eukaryota; Metazoa; Chordata; Mammalia; Primates; Cebidae
Description: lncRNA (ENSCJAG00000077805.1)
Source: RNAcentral
AUGUGGCCAGGGAGGGCUGAGCGGGCAGGUGCCGCAGCCAGGGGUUCCCGUGAGGCCAGUGAAGGGGCUCAGACACCAUGGGGGAAAGGAAGCCAUGAAGAGUGUUCAACAGAGUUCCUUCCAGGAUUCAAGGAAAUAACACCUACAUACUAUAGUGUUUGCCACAUAGGAGGUGCUCAAAGGGUGGCUGCAACUGUUACUGUCACUGUUAUUAUUAUUAGUACUGCUACUGCUGCUGCUGAGGCUCUACUGCUGCUGUGGCUACUGCACUGCUACUGCUCCCCGAGCUGCUACUGCCACCAAUGCACCACAACUGCUGCUGCUGCUACUACUCCUGCCACAGCUACUGGAACCACUGCUGCUACUACUCCUACCACCAUAACUGCAACCACUGCUGCUACUCCUACCACUACAACUGCAACCACUGCUACUCCUACCACUACAACUGCAACCACUGCUACUACUCCUACCACUACAACUGCAACCACUGCUACUCCUACCACUACAACUGCAACCACUGCUACUACUCCUACCACUACAACUGCAACCACUGCUACUCCUACCACUACAACUGCAACCACUGCUACUCCUACCACUACAACUGCAACCACUGCUACUCCUACCACUACUGCAACCACUGCUACUCCUACCACUACAACUGCAACCACUGCUACUCCUACCACUACUGCAACCACUGCUACUCCUACCACUACAACUGCAACCACUGCUACUCCUACCACUACAACUGCAACCACUGCUACUCCUACCACUACAACUGCAACCACUGCUACUCCUACCACUACAACUGCAACCACUGCUACUCCUACCACUACAACUGCAACCACUGCUACUCCUACCACUACUACUGCAACCACUGCUACUCCUACCACUACUGCAACCACUGCUACUCCUACCACUACUGCAACCACUGCUACUCCUACCACUACAACUGCAACCACUGCUACUCCUACCACUACAACUGCAACCACUGCUACUCCUACCACUACAACUGCAACCACUGCUACUCCUACCACUACAACUGCAACCACUGCUACUCCUACCACUACUGCAACCACUGCUGCUACUCCUACCACAACUACUGCAACCACUGCUUCCACUGCUCCCCAUCCUGGCCAUGUGUUUCACCCUAAGGUCUUAGCCAAUGCUAUCAACCCUAUCUCAGGGGAUAGGAGGUGGACACCUAUGGUCCCUGUCCACAUGGAGAUGCAGUAUGUAAAUGUUUGCAGGACAGGUACUCAAGAGUCACCAAAACCCCACACUCCCAGAAUGAAUCAUUCAUUGAUUAACAUUUAUGCUGGCAGCACUUUUGAAGCUGACGGCCCCCUCCUCCUGCAGUCCAUUCCCUUCACACCCCAGAGCCCAGAAUCCAGAACUCUCUCCACCAGCCCCUCUGCAGUGGCUUCCAUGGGCUCUUACAGGGCAGCAAGUCACAGAAAACCUGGGCUCUGCCAGGCAGGACCACACAGGCAGCUUCAGGACCAGGAUUCCAUUUGUGACUUGGUGAGGCCAUUUCUAACUCUGCGACCCUAA